Molecule: ribosomal RNA, 492 nt
Filed under: uncultured bacterium
Lineage: Bacteria
Description: partial 16S ribosomal RNA
Rfam family: Bacterial small subunit ribosomal RNA
Source: RNAcentral
AGUGAACGCUGGCGGUAGGCCUAACACAUGCAAGUCGAACGGCAGCACAGUAAGAGCUUGCUCUUACGGGUGGCGAGUGGCGGACGGGUGAGGAAUACAUCGGAAUCUACUUUUUCGUGGGGGAUAACGUAGGGAAACUUACGCUAAUACCGCAUACGACCUACGGGUGAAAGCAGGGGAUCUUCGGACCUUGCGCGAUUGAAUGAGCCGAUGUCGGAUUAGCUAGUUGGCGGGGUAAAGGCCCACCAAGGCGACGAUCCGUAGCUGGUCUGAGAGGAUGAUCAGGCACACCGGAACUGAGACACGGUCCAGACCCCUACGGGAGGCCGCCGUGGGGAAUAUUUGACAAUGGGCGGAAGCCUGAUCCAGCCCUUCCGCGUGGGUGAAGAAGGCCUUCGGGUUGUAAAGCCCUUUUGUUGGGAAAGAAAAGCAGCAGGUUAAUACCCCGCUGUUCUGACGGUACCCAAAGAAUAAGCACCGGCUAACUUCGUG